RNAcentral lists this ribosomal RNA (67 nucleotides) under Kamptonema formosum PCC 6407. RNAcentral describes it as "partial 16S ribosomal RNA". It matches the Rfam family "Bacterial small subunit ribosomal RNA", at positions 1467 to 1533 of the family's 1533-position model. The record is from RNAcentral. Lineage: Bacteria; Bacillati; Cyanobacteriota; Cyanophyceae; Oscillatoriales; Microcoleaceae.
GCUGAUGACUGGGGUGAAGUCGUAACAAGGUAGCCGUACCGGAAGGUGUGGCUGGAUCACCUCCUUU